RNAcentral lists this ribosomal RNA (164 nucleotides) under uncultured bacterium. Its description in RNAcentral is "partial 16S rRNA". It matches the Rfam family "Bacterial small subunit ribosomal RNA", at positions 355 to 511 of the family's 1533-position model. The record is from RNAcentral.
UAGGGAAUCUUCGGCAAUGGACGAAUGUCUGACCGAGCAACGCCGCGUGAGUGAAGAAGGUUUUCGGAUCGUAAAACUCUGUUGGUAGAGAAGAACGUUGGUGAGAGUGGAAAGCUCAUCAAGUGACGGUAACUACCCAGAAAGGGCGGCUAACUACGUGUCAG